RNAcentral lists this ribosomal RNA (520 nucleotides) under uncultured Glomus. Its description in RNAcentral is "SSU rRNA". It matches the Rfam family "Eukaryotic small subunit ribosomal RNA", at positions 569 to 1091 of the family's 1831-position model. The record is from RNAcentral. Lineage: Eukaryota; Fungi; Glomeromycota; Glomeromycetes; Glomerales; Glomeraceae.
AGCAGCCGCGGUAAUUCCAGCUCCAAUAGCGUAUAUUAAAGUUGCUGCAGUUAAAAAGCUCGUAGUUGAAUUUCGGGAUCAGUGGGUCGGUCGUGCCACUGGUAUGUACUGGCCCUACUGGUUCCUCCUUCUUGAAGAACUGUAAUGCCAUUAAUUUGGUGUUGCAGGGAAACAGGACUGUUACUUUGAAAAAAUUAGAGUGUUUAAAGCAGGCAAUCGCUUGAAUACAUUAGCAUGGAAUAAUGAAAUAGGACGUUCGAUCCUAUUUUGUUGGUUUCUAGGAUUGACGUAAUGAUUAAUAGGGAUAGUUGGGGGCAUUAGUAUUCAAUUGUCAGAGGUGAAAUUCUUGGAUUUAUUGAAGACUAACUACUGCGAAAGCAUUUGCCAAGGAUGUUUUCAUUAAUCAAGAACGAAAGUUAGGGGAUCGAAGACGAUCAGAUACCGUCGUAGUCUUAACCAUAAACUAUGCCGACUAGGGAUCGGAUGAUGUUAAUUUUUAAUGACUCAUUCGGCGCCUUAA